AUCCUGAAGCACGCCGCGAACUGCGACCACUGCAAGGCCAAGAAGUUUGUGAGCGAGGCCCCAUGAUUCUGCUGUCGCAGUGGGCAGAUCGAGCUGAAGCAACUGGAGCCCAUCCCGGAGCUCAUGAGGCUUUGGUCUAGCACUGAUGCGGAUGCUAGGCAUUUUCGGGAGAACAUACGGUUUUUCAACGGACACUUCUCCUUCACAACCCUCGGCGUCAGCCUCGAUGAAACAUACACAAACAUGAAGUCUGGGGUGUACACGUUCCGGGCGCACGGCACCAUCUACCACAAUGUUCAUUCCUUCGGGCCAACAUCCCGUCCAGAUCAUCUACAGUUGUACUUCUACGACGACGACCCAGGCCUAACCCAUCGCAAGGCUGCCACCGAGCAAUUAGACCAGGAUGUCGUCAAAAAGUUGGUG
Molecule: ribosomal RNA, 423 nt
Filed under: Triticum aestivum (bread wheat)
Lineage: Eukaryota; Viridiplantae; Streptophyta; Magnoliopsida; Poales; Poaceae
Description: partial small subunit ribosomal RNA
Source: RNAcentral